AGUCUCUCGAGUCCGAGUCUCUUUUGACUCGGGGUUUCGGAUUUGGACGUUUGCCGUCGUGAGACGGCUCGUCUCGAAAUGUAUCGGCCGUUCCCAUUUCCACAGACAACGGUGUGAUAAAUGAAACUCGCUCGCGUCUUGUGGUAACGGGGGACGGCUCACAGUCGUCCUUUUUGGACAAUACACACGUC
Molecule: unclassified non-coding RNA, 191 nt
Filed under: uncultured Hysterangium
Lineage: Eukaryota; Fungi; Basidiomycota; Agaricomycetes; Hysterangiales; Hysterangiaceae
Description: sequence contains ITS2
Source: RNAcentral